RNAcentral lists this microRNA precursor (87 nucleotides) under Saimiri boliviensis boliviensis (Bolivian squirrel monkey). RNAcentral's name for it is "miRNA (ENSSBOG00000002947.1)". The record is from RNAcentral. Lineage: Eukaryota; Metazoa; Chordata; Mammalia; Primates; Cebidae.
AUUAGAUUGGUGCAAAAGUAAUUGCAAUUGGGGACAUUACUUUUAAUGGUAAAAACUGCAAUUCCUUUUGUACCAACCUAAUAAUUA